CAUGCAAGUCGAGCGGGGAAGKGUAGCUUGCUACAUUACCUAGCGGCGGACGGGUGAGUAAUGCUUAGGAAUCUGCCUAUUAGUGGGGGACAACAUUCCGAAAGGAAUGCUAAUACCGCAUACGUCCUACGGGAGAAAGCAGGGGAUCUUCGGACCUUGCGCUAAUAGAUGAGCCUAAGUCGGAUUAGCUAGUUGGUGGGGUAAAGGCCUACCAAGGCGACGAUCUGUAGCGGGUCUGAGAGGAUGAUCCGCCACACUGGGACUGAGACACGGCCCAGACUCCUACGGGAGGCAGCAGUGGGGAAUAUUGGACAAUGGGCGGAAGCCUGAUCCAGCCAUGCCGCGUGUGUGAAGAAGGCCUUUUGGUUGUAAAGCACUUUAAGCGAGGAGGAGGCUACUCUAGUUAAUACCUAGAGAUAGUGGACGUUACUCGCAGAAUAAGCACCGGCUAA
This 452-nucleotide ribosomal RNA is filed under the name Acinetobacter haemolyticus. Its description in RNAcentral is "bacterial SSU rRNA". It matches the Rfam family "Bacterial small subunit ribosomal RNA", at positions 54 to 500 of the family's 1533-position model. The record is from RNAcentral. Lineage: Bacteria; Pseudomonadati; Pseudomonadota; Gammaproteobacteria; Moraxellales; Moraxellaceae.